RNAcentral lists this microRNA precursor (103 nucleotides) under Marmota monax (woodchuck). The record is from RNAcentral. Lineage: Eukaryota; Metazoa; Chordata; Mammalia; Rodentia; Sciuridae.
AGUGGAAUAGCUGGGUCAAAUGGUGGUUGCAUUCCAAGUUUUCCAGGGAAUCUCCAUACUGCUUUUCAUAUUGGCUGUACCAGUUUGCAGUCCCAUUAGCAAU